Erpetoichthys calabaricus (reedfish) is the source of this 428-nucleotide long non-coding RNA. RefSeq lists it as uncharacterized. The record is from RefSeq and is a predicted model, not a curated record. The transcript has 3 exons. NCBI's taxonomy places the organism in Eukaryota, Metazoa, Chordata, Cladistia, Polypteriformes, Polypteridae.
AAAUAAACAUGCUCUCAAAUUCACUUUUUGUCACAGGGCCUAUAAAAGAAGGAGAGAAGAGGUGCAGUCUAGACAGGAGUGACUUCACUUGGGCAAAAUGAAGCUUCUAGUGCUGACUGUUAUUGGGACAUUACUGGGCGCUGCCUGGUCCCGUCCUGGGGUGCCUGAUAGUGACCCACUGCAAGCGGCCUCAUGUAGUGACUCACAAGUAGCCAUUGCAGCAGAUCUAGCUGUGCGGGAAAUUAACAAGAGGCAGGAUGAAGGCAACAUCUUAGUCGUGUAUCGCAUUAAUGAUGCUCACAUACAGAACAAAGAUACGGGCAACACAUUUUACCUUGAUAUUCAUGUUGUGGAUACUGAAUGUCCUGCAGUUAGUAGAAAAGAUGGUAAAGAAUGCAACACCAAGCCGGCCCAUGAAACAGUAAGUG